CGAAUGCUGACGUGAGUAACGACAAAACGGGUGAAAAACCCGUUCGCCGAAAGACCAAGGGUUCCAGUCCAACGUUAAUCGGGGCUGGGUGAGUCGACCCCUAAGGCGAGGCCGAAAGGCGUAGUCGAUGGGAAAAUGGUUAAUAUUCCAUUACUUCUGUGUAAUGCGAUGAGAGGACGGAGAAGGCUAAAUCAGCCUGGCGUUGGUUGUCCAGGUGAAAGGAUGUAGGCAUGUAUCUUAGGCAAAUCCGGGGUACUCUAUGCUGAGAUCUGAUAGCAAGCUGUACUUGUACAGCGAAGUGGUUGAUGCCAUGCUUCCAGGAAAAGUCUCUAAGCUUCAGUUACACAGGAAUCGUACCCGAAACCGACACAGGUGGUCAGGUCGAGUAGACCAAGGCGCUUGAGAGAACUCUGCUGAAGGAACUAGGCAAAAUGGUACCGUAACUUCGGGAGAAGGUACGCUGUUGUUGGUGAUGGAACUCGCUUCCUGAGCUGACGACAGCCGCAGAAACCAGGCCGCUGCAACUGUUUAUUAAAAACAUAGCACUCUGCAAACACGAAAGUGGACGUAUAGGGUGUGAUGCCUGCCCGGUGCUGGAAGGUUAAUUGAUGGGGUUAGCGUAAGCGAAGCUCUUGAUCGAAGCCCCAGUAAACGGCGGCCGUAACUAUAACGGUCCUAAGGUAGCGAAAUUCCUUGUCGGGUAAGUUCCGACCUGCACGAAUGGCAUAAUGAUGGCGGCGCUGUCUCCAGCAGAGGCUCAGUGAAAUCGAAAUCGCUGUGAAGAUGCAGUGUACCCGCGGCUAGACGGAAAGACCCCGUGAACCUUUACUGCAGCUUGACACUGAACUUUGACCUUACUUGUGUAGGAUAGGUGGGAGGCUUUGAAGCUGGAACGCUAGUUCCAGUGGAGCCGUCCUUGAAAUACCACCCUGGUAAUGUUGAGGUUCUAACUCUGUCCCGUGAUCCGGGACGAGGACCGUGUCUGGUGGGUAGUUUGACUGGGGCGGUCUCCUCCUAAAGAGUAACGGAGGAGUACGAAGGUGCGCUCAGCGUGGUCGGAAAUCACGCGUAGAGUAUAAAGGCAAAAGCGCGCUUAACUGCGAGACCCACAAGUCGAGCAGGUACGAAAGUAGGUCUUAGUGAUCCGGUGGUUCUGUAUGGAAGGGCCAUCGCUCAACGGAUAAAAGGUACUCUGGGGAUAACAGGCUGAUACCGCCCAAGAGUUCAUAUCGACGGCGGUGUUUGGCACCUCGAUGUCGGCUCAUCUCAUCCUGGGGCUGAAGCAGGUCCCAAGGGUAUGGCUGUUCGCCAUUUAAAGAGGUACGCGAGCUGGGUUUAGAACGUCGUGAGACAGUUCGGUCCCUAUCUACCGUGGGCGCUGGAAAUUUGAGAGGAUCUGCUCCUAGUACGAGAGGACCAGAGUGGACGAACCUCUGGUGUACCGGUUGUGACGCCAGUCGCAUCGCCGGGUAGCUAUGUUCGGAAGGGAU
RNAcentral lists this ribosomal RNA (1490 nucleotides) under Acinetobacter baumannii. Its description in RNAcentral is "partial 23S ribosomal RNA". It matches the Rfam family "Bacterial large subunit ribosomal RNA", at positions 1291 to 2765 of the family's 2925-position model. Lineage: Bacteria; Pseudomonadati; Pseudomonadota; Gammaproteobacteria; Moraxellales; Moraxellaceae. The record is from RNAcentral.